UACGUAGGGCGCGAGCGUUGUCCGGAAUUAUUGGGCGUAAAGAGCUCGUAGGCGGCCUGUUGCGUCCGCUGUGAAAUCCCGGGGCUCAACCCUGGGCGUGCAGUGGAUACGGGCAGGCUGGAGGCAGGCAGGGGAGAACGGAAUUCCCGGUGUAGCGGUGAAAUGCGCAGAUAUCGGGAAGAACACCCGUGGCGAAGGCGGUUCUCUGGGACGGUACUGACGCUGAGACGCGAAAGCGUGGGGAGCGAACAGG
Molecule: ribosomal RNA, 253 nt
Filed under: uncultured bacterium
Lineage: Bacteria
Description: partial 16S ribosomal RNA
Rfam family: Bacterial small subunit ribosomal RNA
Source: RNAcentral